AACUUUGGACAGUGGCAGUAUCAUAGCCAGUGAAGUUUAUCUGAGGCUUGAUUGUUGUUAAUUGAAGCUUAGAAUUAACAAGCUCUUAAUCUAAAGCAUUCUUUUGGUGGGUAUGUUAUUUUUAUUUCUGUUUACC
Cavia porcellus (domestic guinea pig) is the source of this 136-nucleotide small nuclear RNA. It matches the Rfam family "U4 spliceosomal RNA". Rfam says of the family: U4 small nuclear RNA (U4 snRNA) is a component of the major U2-dependent spliceosome. The structure of U4 snRNA from yeast and human has been reported. NCBI's taxonomy places the organism in Eukaryota, Metazoa, Chordata, Mammalia, Rodentia, Caviidae. The record is from Rfam.